ACCUACCUCUGUUGCUUUGGCGGGCCGCGGUCCUCCGCGGCCGCCCCCCUCCCCGGGGGGGUGGCCAGCGCCCGCCAGAGGACCAUCAAACUCCAGUCAGUAAACGAUGCAGUCUGAAAAACAUUUAAUAAACUAAAACUUUCAACAACGGAUCUCUUGGUUCUGGCAUCGAUGAAGAACGCAGCGAAAUGCGAUAAGUAAUGUGAAUUGCAGAAUUCAGUGAAUCAUCGAAUCUUUGAACGCACAUUGCGCCCUUUGGUAUUCCGAAGGGCAUGCCUGUUCGAGCGUCAUUACAACCCUCAAGCUCUGCUUGGUAUUGGGCACCGUCCUUUGCGGGCGCGCCUCAAAGACCUCGGCGGUGGCGUCUUGCCUCAAGCGUAGUAGAACAUACAUCUCGCUUCGGAGCGCAGGGCGUCGCCCGCCGGACGAACCUUCUGAACUUUUCUCAAGGUUGACCUCGGAUCAGGUAGGGAUACCCGCUGAACUUAA
RNAcentral lists this ribosomal RNA (489 nucleotides) under fungal sp. KL-2011. RNAcentral describes it as "eukaryotic LSU rRNA". The stretch from base 137 to 290 matches the Rfam family "5.8S ribosomal RNA". The record is from RNAcentral. Lineage: Eukaryota; Fungi.